This is a non-coding RNA of Chlorocebus sabaeus (green monkey), 582 nucleotides long. The record is from the annotation of a RefSeq genome assembly. NCBI's taxonomy places the organism in Eukaryota, Metazoa, Chordata, Mammalia, Primates, Cercopithecidae.
CGUCCCACCCCAGAGCUUGCUAUAUAGUAGGAGACAUGCAAAUAGGAUCCUCUCUCUGCUGAUAAAAUCCAGCCCAGCCCUGACCCUGCAGCUCCGAGAGCAGAGUCCAGCCCCCGAAUUCUCAGGUGUUUUCAUUCGGUGAUCAGCACCAAACACAGAAGACUCACCAUGGAGUUUGUGCUGAGCUGGGUUUUCCUUGUUGCUAUUUUAAAAGGUGUCCAGUGUGAGGUGCAGCUGGUGGAGUCUGGGGGAGGUUUGGUCCAGCCUGGGGGGGUCCCUGAAACUCUCCUGUGCAGCCUCUGGAUUCACCUUCAGUGACCACUACAUGGACUGGGUCCGCCAGGCUCCAGGGAAGGGGCUGGAGUGGGUUGGCCGUAUUAGAAACAAAGCUAACAGUCACACGACAGAAUACGCCGCGUCUGUGAAAGACAGAUUCACCAUCUCCAGAGAUGAUUCAAAGAACACACUGUACCUGCAAAUGAGCGGCCUGAAAACCGAGGACACGGCCGUGUAUUACUGUGCUAGAGACACAGGUGAUUAUUACUGGCUCAGGCAGGGGUCAGAAAUCAAGACGGAUAUGUG